This is a non-coding RNA of Schistocerca gregaria, 72 nucleotides long. The record is from the annotation of a RefSeq genome assembly. NCBI's taxonomy places the organism in Eukaryota, Metazoa, Arthropoda, Insecta, Orthoptera, Acrididae.
AGCAGGAUAGCACAGCGGAAGUGCGUGGGGCUCAUAACUCCAAGGUCCCAGGUUCGAACCCUGGUUCUGCUA